UGCAAGUCGAACGAGUUCUCGUUGAUGAUCGGUGCUUGCACCGAGAUUCAACAUGGAACGAGUGGCGGACGGGUGAGUAACACGUGGGUAACCUGCCCUUAAGUGGGGGAUAACAUUUGGAAACAGAUGCUAAUACCGCAUAGAUCCAAGAACCGCAUGGUUCUUGGCUGAAAGAUGGCGUAAGCUAUCGCUUUUGGAUGGACCCGCGGCGUAUUAGCUAGUUGGUGAGGUAAUGGCUCACCAAGGCGAUGAUACGUAGCCGAACUGAGAGGUUGAUCGGCCACAUUGGGACUGAGACACGGCCCAAACUCCUACGGGAGGCAGCAGUAGGGAAUCUUCCACAAUGGACGCAAGUCUGAUGGAGCAACGCCGCGUGAGUGAAGAAGGCUUUCGGGUCGUAAAACUCUGUUGUUGGAGAAGAAUGGUCGGCAGAGUAACUGUUGUCGGCGUGACGGUAUCCAACCAGAAAGCCACGGCUAACUACGUGCCAGCAGCCGCGGUAAUACGUAGGUGGCAAGCGUUAUCCGGAUUUAUUGGGCGUAAAGCGAGCGCAGGCGGUUUUUUAAGUCUGAUGUGAAAGCCCUCGGCUUAACCGAGGAAGCGCAUCGGAAACUGGGAAACUUGAGUGCAGAAGAGGACAGUGGAACUCCAUGUGUAGCGGUGAAAUGCGUAGAUAUAUGGAAGAACACCAGUGGCGAAGGCGGCUGUCUGGUCUGUAACUGACGCUGAGGCUCGAAAGCAUGGGUAGCGAACAGGAUUAGAUACCCUGGUAGUCCAUGCCGUAAACGAUGAAUGCUAGGUGUUGGAGGGUUUCCGCCCUUCAGUGCCGCAGCUAACGCAUUAAGCAUUCCGCCUGGGGAGUACGACCGCAAGGUU
This 876-nucleotide ribosomal RNA is filed under the name Lacticaseibacillus paracasei. RNAcentral's name for it is "bacterial SSU rRNA". It matches the Rfam family "Bacterial small subunit ribosomal RNA", at positions 56 to 895 of the family's 1533-position model. The record is from RNAcentral. Lineage: Bacteria; Bacillati; Bacillota; Bacilli; Lactobacillales; Lactobacillaceae.